GCUUUCUAUCCUUCCAGGAUUGAUAAAAUGAAGUCCAGUUAGGUACUGGGGUCGAUGGUAUUUGACUGCUCCCUUCUCUUGAAGUCUGAGACCUUGUGUCUGUAAAAAAUCAUUGUUAUAAAGAACAGUUUAACGCCAUUAGUUUAUUAUACAGCUUUGAAUCUAAGUUAAAGCAGCAGUUACUGUAAAUUUUCUUCAUUCUUUCCAUCCUGCAUCAGAAAUCAGUGAGUUAUAUGACACUUGUUGGUCUCACUUCUAGCUUGCUUUCCACGUAGUAGCUGCUAAGGGUGAUCUCCUCAUAACACAGGUACUUACAGGGAUUGUUGUAAUACUGAAUCAUUCAUUUUUCAGAUCUCUGUUUAGAAUUGAAAUCUUGCAAUGGUUGACUCUGUCCUGUAUCCUUCCUGUGGUUGGUAAAGUAAAUUUGAUUCAUGUACUUUGUCUCUGUGAGUUGUGGGAGGUCAAUAAAAUAUACAUGAGUAAUACAUUAGGAUCAGUUGUUGACUAUAUCCCUCCCUUAUUAAAACAUUGAACUUGUAUCUGGUCAGAAGACCUCCACAUUGCCAAUGUAGAAGCUUCUACAUGGUUUUUUCAACAUGCUUGAAAUAGCUGCUGAUUUCACUCAACCCACAUCUUAAGAAAAGGAAGGACACU
Molecule: long non-coding RNA, 654 nt
Organism: Octopus sinensis (East Asian common octopus)
Lineage: Eukaryota; Metazoa; Mollusca; Cephalopoda; Octopoda; Octopodidae
Exons: 2
Source: RefSeq, a predicted model, not a curated record